RNAcentral lists this transfer RNA (76 nucleotides) under Caudoviricetes sp. Its description in RNAcentral is "tRNA-Lys". It matches the Rfam family "tRNA". From Rfam's summary of the family: Transfer RNA (tRNA) molecules are approximately 80 nucleotides in length. Their secondary structure includes four short double-helical elements and three loops (D, anti-codon, and T loops). The record is from RNAcentral. Lineage: Duplodnaviria; Heunggongvirae; Uroviricota; Caudoviricetes.
GGUGCGUAGCUCAGUUGGCUAGAGCAACUGACUCUUAAUCAGUGGGUCCUGGGUUCGAGUCCCCGAUGGUGCACCA